Molecule: non-coding RNA, 383 nt
Organism: Elaeis guineensis (African oil palm)
Lineage: Eukaryota; Viridiplantae; Streptophyta; Magnoliopsida; Arecales; Arecaceae
Source: RefSeq, a predicted model, not a curated record
UCUCGGUUGGUGGGAAAAUUUGGAGGAGGAAGAGAAGUGUAAUGUCCAAACUUACAUCUGGAUCGCCAAUGAAACCAUCUCAUGGGCAUUAAUUCAUGCUGCAAUCUCUUCGGUUGCCCCUACUGCUAUCAUACCCAUGCAAGACAUCCUUGGUCUGGGAAGCUCUGCUCGGAUGAACGUUCCAGCAACACAGUUAGGCAACUGGAGAUGGAGGAUACCGAGCUCGGUCAGUUUCGAUGGCCUAAAGCCUGAAGCAGAGAAAUUGAGGGACCAGUUGGCAUUGUACAACAGGUUAUGAAGCUAUGGUCAUCAAAGCUUGGUCGUAGCUACUGAACCUUGGGCACCUGUUUCUAUAAUCCACCAGUUUUGAGUCUUUUGAUAGU